UCAUCCAAACCGGGCCAUAAUGAGCCGUGGGACUCUACUUUACUCUUUCCCAUCGCUCCGAAAGUGUGGAUCAGUCUUCCGUUAUGCCCAUGCCCCAUUUCUACAUAUGCUUCUAAUUUCGCUUUAACUUUAUAGUUCUUGAAAUGUGCAGAGGCCUUCUAUGCUCUAAGAAGCCCUGAAUUCUGGGAAAAUAGAAUCCAAACGUACACGAUUCCUUAGAGCCCUUUUAUGGAGCACUGCUCCGAUCUUCUUUGUUUUUGAUACAUUUUUUUCUGUCUUGUUUUGUUCUAUUUUGUUUUGUUUUUCCUCUUUGUUGUUUUUGGUGUUGAUGCAGGUUUUGCACCAGAGCAAUGACGUCCAAAUCUCAUAAACAUGGAAAGCGUAUUGAGGUUCAAAAGAUGCGAAAGAAGCUCAAGAAACAUGGGCGACGCUUGGUUAGUACAAGUGGGUCGUCCUCUGAGUCCUAUGAUUCAAAUCGGGGAAGGCCUAGGACGAGAAAAAGUAGUCACAAGAGGAAAAUAAUCCAUUAUUCCAGUAGUGAAGAUGAGGACCUUCAUCACAAGAAGACGAGAAGAGGAAGAAGCAGGCGUAGCAUGAGGAAGAGGAGUGAUUCAAUUAAAAGAAAGCGGGGAAGCCCUAUCAAACACAAAAGAAAGGUGAGGAAAAGAAGCUCAAGAAGUAGUUCCUUGAGCAGGUACUCCAGAAGGAGUUGCUCAACUUGUAGGAGUUGUAGUAGUAGCAGCUCAGAAAGUGAUAGAGAAAGAUAUAAGAGAAGUGGUCGGAACUCGUCAAGAAUUAAAUCUCAUUCAAAAUACCAAAUGAAGAAGAAUGGGGAAAUUCUGAAGAGGGCUAGCGAUGAGAAUGAUAAAUAUUAUGAUAGGUAUAGGCCUCAUAGGUGCUCAUCGUGUAGUGGUGGCACUGAAGAUGAGGAGAGAGUAGCCCAUCAUAAAAAACCAGUUUGGAGUGCAACUUUAUCAAAAAAGGAGAAAAUAGGGGAGAGAGAAAAUGAGGAUAAGAUGGCAAUACAGUUGGAUGAUCGUUGCCCAUCUUACACAGAUGAUGAGACAGAUAGAAGAGGAAGGAGUGUACUGUCCUCUAUUAUUGAGAGAUGCGAGCCAGUUGAAAAGGAAAGUGCAGGUUCCCUUAAUAUUGUCCAAUCUUCUAGCUCCAAGAAGGUUGAUGAGUCAUCAAUUCAUGACAGUGGGGUUGAAAGAUAUUCUGCUAAGGACCUGGACAUCAUUAGAGAAAGCAGUAAGAUCAGCUCGUCUAAUGGGUCUAAUGGGGGUGGUUCUCCUUCCCAUAGAGUUCAGUCAAGGAUCUCCCGCAAAGAGGAAAAUGUUGAGACCACUGUUGAUUUUGAUAAACCUGAUACCGAGGCUUUGGAGGCCCUUUUAAGACAUAAAGCUUUGGAAAAUUUGCAAAGGUUUCGUGAUAGACCUGGUGGGAAAGCACUAAAUAUUAAUGGAAAAGGGCCUGAGGGUAGAGCUUUUGGGGCAAUGGCAACCAGGAAUGAUGAGAAUACUUAUGGAAAACCAUCUGAGACCCCUGAUAAGAAAUUAGCAGCACAAGAAGUUGAGAAUGAAAACAUUAGCAGUGAAAGUGCCAAGGAAGCCAGUUUUUCUGCUUUUUCUCGAAUAACCACUGAACAUCCCAAUCAAGAUGUUUCUAUUACUAAUCCUGGACAUUUUGCUACUGCCACUUCAAUAAAUGGUAGUUCUAGUAGUGCGCUUACUGGAAUUGCCGAGGGAGCACUUAAUGCUACUAAUGAAACCCAGAAAAUCGCCACUCAUAUGCCCAGUGCAUAUGAACCCUCUGAGCAGGAAUUAUCUCAGAAAAUCAUGAGUACUCCAUGUCAAAGAGUUACUGAAGUGGUGCCUGGCCCAAGUGAAAAAGGAGCUAAUGAAGUGAAGCCUGCCCCAAAAGAAAAAAUAGUUACAGAAGUGAGGCCCUCUCCUACUGAAAAUGGUGAGAUGGAAUUAGGGACUAUUAGAGCUGAUGCAUCUUCUUCAGAUGCUUCUUGCAGGCAUGACCCAGCAAUGAAUAAGACAGAAUUGGAUAAUUCGAAAGGUAGGACUAUAGAUAGCUCGCAAUUUGAGCAGAAAACGAUGUCGGUAAUGCGGGGUGGAGAAAUGGUGCAGGUGAGCUACAAGGUAUACAUACCAAAACGACCCUCAGCUUUAGCAAGGAGGCAAUUGCAGCGGUGAAGUAUAAAUGUCGCUUGUGUGUUUUUUCAUGGCAUAAAUUCGUCAAGGGCUCAAGCCUAUCUUUCAAGUAAAGACGUACAAGAUGUUGGAAUGUGGGCAAGGUAGUCGUUUCUUAUUGACAUAUGAGUUUGAGAUUUGCUAUAUGAUGUGGUAUCUCAAAAUUCUGCAGUGCAAGUUGGCUGUGUUUGGGAAUACAUUUUGUUUCAAGCAUAUUUUCUGUGGGCAUUGAGAAUCCUCUUUAUGUAAUAGACAUUGUUGGGAGGCAUUCAUCAAGGGGCAUGUUUAGGUGUACCUCCCACUUCAAACAAAGUUGCAUAUAUAUGAGUGAAAUUUAAAGUUGCUUUAUCAAAAAGAAGAAGAAGAAGAAGAAGAAGAUGAAGAGAGAGAGAUGAGAGAGAGAGAGAGAGAGGAGGAGGAGGAGGAGGAGGAGGCGGAGGAGGUUAGUUUUAUAUGCUCUUCAGCUAGCAUGUUCUUGUCCCCUUCAAGUGAAACCAAAAUAAAAGGGCACAAGAAAACAUACACUAUAUAGAAAUUUGUUUUGUGUUUUUUAUAUAGUUUGGAAUGUUUUUAGAUAGUUCAAUGUUUUUACUACUUAAGGAGAUAAUACAAUCUGUUAAAGGUGAAAACAAAUCUCAGAGAAAAUGUUGAUGAUCAGUUUGCCAUGAUUAAUACCAGAUUACUGAUCUAAGAAAAAAGGAAAAAAUUAAAAAGAA
RNA transcript from Amborella trichopoda, 2917 nucleotides. It is a transcript of the gene named aspartic proteinase CDR1, with no coding region annotated. The record is from RefSeq and is a predicted model, not a curated record. NCBI's taxonomy places the organism in Eukaryota, Viridiplantae, Streptophyta, Magnoliopsida, Amborellales, Amborellaceae.